UUUCCGUAGGUGAACCUGCGGAAGGAUCAUUGUCGAAACCUGCCCAGCAGAACGACCCGCGAACUUGUAUAAACAACCGGGGGCGGGGGGCGUUCCCGCCCCGUGCCCCCGAACGGCGGGGAGACACUCGUGCCUUCUUGCCGAACAACGAACCCCGGCGCGGUCUGCGCUAAGGAACUUCAACUAAAGAGUGGCUCCGGUCGCCUCGGAAACGGCGUGCGUGCCGGGGGCGAAGCUUGUGCAAAACCAUAACGACUCUCGGCAACGGAUAUCUCGGCUCUG
Molecule: unclassified non-coding RNA, 282 nt
Filed under: plant metagenome
Description: partial contains small subunit ribosomal RNA, internal transcribed spacer 1, and 5.8S ribosomal RNA
Source: RNAcentral